CUUUCCCUCUUUCUUCAUGCUUUACACAUGCAAGUCGAACGGCAGCGCGGGCUUCGGCCUGGCGGCGAGUGGCGAACGGGUGAGUAAUGCAUCGGAACGUGCCCAGUAGUGGGGGAUAGCCCGGCGAAAGCCGGAUUAAUACCGCAUACGACCUGAGGGUGAAAGCGGGGGACCGAAAGGCCUCGCGCUAUUGGAGCGGCCGAUGUCGGAUUAGCUAGUUGGUGGGGUAAAGGCUUACCAAGGCGACGAUCCGUAGCUGGUCUGAGAGGACGACCAGCCACACUGGGACUGAGACACGGCCCAGACUCCUACGGGAGGCAGCAGUGGGGAAUUUUGGACAAUGGGGGCAACCCUGAUCCAGCCAUGCCGCGUGCGGGAAGAAGGCCUUCGGGUUGUAAACCGCUUUUGUUCGGGAAGAAAUCCUCUGGGCUAAUACCCCGGGGGGAUGACGGUACCGGAAGAAUAAGCACCGGCUAACUACGUG
This 484-nucleotide ribosomal RNA is filed under the name uncultured bacterium. RNAcentral describes it as "partial 16S ribosomal RNA". It matches the Rfam family "Bacterial small subunit ribosomal RNA", at positions 34 to 507 of the family's 1533-position model. The record is from RNAcentral.